AGUGAACGCUGGCGGUAGGCCUAACACAUGCAAGUCGAACGGCAGCACAGUAAGAGCUUGCUCUUACGGGUGGCGAGUGGCGGACGGGUGAGGAAUACAUCGGAAUCUACUUUUUCGUGGGGGAUAACGUAGGGAAACUUACGCUAAUACCGCAUACGACCUACGGGUGAAAGCAGGGGAUCUUCGGACCUUGCGCGAUUGAAUGAGCCGAUGUCGGAUUAGCUAGUUGGCGGGGUAAAGGCCCACCAAGGCGACGAUCCGUAGAUGGUCUGAGAGGAUGAUCAGACACACUGGAACUGAGACACGGUCCAGACUCCUACGGGAGGCAGCAGUGGGGAAUAUUGGACAAUGGGCGCAAGCCUGAUCCAGCCAUACCGCGUGGGUGAAGAAGGCCUUCGGGUUGUAAAGCCCUUUUGUUGGGAAAGAAAAGCAGCAGGUUAAUACCCCGCUGUUCUGACGGUACCCAAAGAAUAAGCACCGGCUAACUUCGUG
This 492-nucleotide ribosomal RNA is filed under the name uncultured bacterium. RNAcentral's name for it is "partial 16S ribosomal RNA". It matches the Rfam family "Bacterial small subunit ribosomal RNA", at positions 29 to 507 of the family's 1533-position model. The record is from RNAcentral.